RNAcentral lists this ribosomal RNA (497 nucleotides) under uncultured bacterium. RNAcentral's name for it is "partial 16S ribosomal RNA". It matches the Rfam family "Bacterial small subunit ribosomal RNA", at positions 28 to 507 of the family's 1533-position model. The record is from RNAcentral.
GAUGAACGCUGGCGGCGUGCCUAAUACAUGCAAGUCGAGCGAACAGACGAGGAGCUUGCUCCUCUGACGUUAGCGGCGGACGGGUGAGUAACACGUGGAUAACCUACCUAUAAGACUGGGAUAACUUCGGGAAACCGGAGCUAAUACCGGAUAAUAUAUUGAACCGCAUGGUUCAAUAGUGAAAGACGGUUUUGCUGUCACUUAUAGAUGGAUCCGCGCCGCAUUAGCUAGUUGGUAAGGUAACGGCUUACCAAGGCGACGAUGCGUAGCCGACCUGAGAGGGUGAUCGGCCACACUGGAACUGAGACACGGUCCAGACUCCUACGGGAGGCAGCAGUAGGGAAUCUUCCGCAAUGGGCGAAAGCAUGACGGAGCAACGCCGAGUGAGUGAUGAAGGUCUUCGGAUCGUAAAACUCUGUUAUUAGUGAAGAACAAAUGUGUAAGUAACUAUGCACGUCUUGACGGUACCUAAUCAGAAAGCCACGGCUAACUACGUG